Molecule: ribosomal RNA, 414 nt
Filed under: Triticum aestivum (bread wheat)
Lineage: Eukaryota; Viridiplantae; Streptophyta; Magnoliopsida; Poales; Poaceae
Description: partial small subunit ribosomal RNA
Source: RNAcentral
AUGAAGGUGGAGAGUGUCAUGUCCGCCGAAGUCGCAGCUUGGGUAGGAGGAGGCAGCACAAUUGCUUGGUUGUGUGUUAAUGGGGGAUCCAUGAUGAAUUUGUAUGGCCAAAGCAUCUUUGAGCAGCGAGCAGCUCAACACUUGAGUCGUCUUGGAAUGAUGGGUUUAGCGCUCCUCUUCUGUUUAUCCAUGUACGCAUGGUUCUUCCCUCACCUCCUGGGCCUAUUCUGGACACUUGUGGGACUGGCUACUGCACUUCAUGCUGCCCUGCGGCUUCUAAGCUGCUUCCGGCAUGAUGAUGAUAGCACCGUCAGAUUGAGCGACGAGGACCUGUGCAUGUGCCCGCGGUGCAAACCCUCAUGCACCUGCUGCAGCAACCGUGGAUCCAGGGCUCAUGCUGUUGAGUCCUUGUGA